UGGAUUUGGGGCGCGCGCGAACUGUCCCGACAACGGCGGUGCUGCCUACCAACACCAUGUGCAAGACUGCCUGACUUGUCCUCUAUCUUAAUGUUGUCAGCAAGAAGUUACUCCAAAUUCCAUCGCCUAACAAUAUCAUCAGUUGUAAGAAGUUAGGAGUUUGGUACGUACCCCGGUGCAAGAGACCAUGGAUGCAAAAGUCAGAUAAUUAGGAACCUGGACUACAAGGGCAAAUGGGAGGCACCUUUCAUCGACAUUCAGCCCAGGGAACCUCAACUUUCCCACUGUUGUACAUUCAUACUACUGUCCAUGUAUCGCUUCUGCUCAACUAUAAUACACGGAAACAUGAAAGCUCAUGUUUUUCCCUUGUUUGUGCAGAGUACAAGGAUGAUUCCUACAUCUAUGCAUUGAUAUGCUGAACCACAUUGGCAUUGAGCCAAGCCAGGUUAGUGCUUCAAAAAUUCUGAAAAAAUCUGUGAAAUGUUGUUGACACUUUGUUAAGUAUUUGGUUUAACUAUGUAUAUUUGAUUCUUAUCCUAUGAAGCAUAAUUAAAGUGUUGACUCUGUUUGACAUUUUGAUGUAUUACAUCUAAUUAGUAGCAUUUGACUUUUGUUUCAUUUUAGAUGUCUGAUGUAGACAACUAAGGCAAUGGCU
Molecule: long non-coding RNA, 655 nt
Organism: Triticum dicoccoides
Lineage: Eukaryota; Viridiplantae; Streptophyta; Magnoliopsida; Poales; Poaceae
Exons: 3
Source: RefSeq, a predicted model, not a curated record